Molecule: unclassified non-coding RNA, 339 nt
Filed under: soil metagenome
Description: partial contains 5.8S ribosomal RNA, internal transcribed spacer 2, and large subunit ribosomal RNA
Rfam family: 5.8S ribosomal RNA (bases 1-120)
Source: RNAcentral
GAUGAAGAACGUAGCGAAAUGCGAUACGUAGUGUGAAUUGGAGAAUUCAGUGAAUCAUCGAAUCUUUGAACGCACAUUGCACCUCUCGGUAUUCCGGGAGGUAUGCCUGUUCGAGCGUCAUUUGUACCCUCAAGCUCUGCUUGGUGUUGGGUGUUUGUUCCGCCUCUGUGUGUGAACUCGCCUCAAAACAAUUGGCAGCCGGCGUACUUGUUUCGGAGCGCAGCACAUUUUGCGAUCCAGAUCAACGUACAGCGGCAUCCAAGAAGCCUUAUUUAACGCUCUUGACCUCGGAUCAGGUAGGGAUACCCGCUGAACUUAAGCAUAUCAAUAAGCGGAGGA